AGGAUUCCCCUAGUAACUGCGAGUGAAGCGGGAAGAGCUCAAAUUUAAAAUCUGGCGCGCCUCCGGUCGCCCGAGUUGUAGUCUGGAGAAGCGUUUUCUGUGUUGGACCGUGUAUAAGUCUCUUGGAACAGGGCGUCAUAGAGGGUGAGAAUCCCGUCUUUGACACGGACUACCAAUGCUUUGUGAUGCGCUCUCAAAGAGUCGAGUUGUUUGGGAAUGCAGCUCAAAAUGGGUGGUAAAUUCCAUCUAAAGCUAAAUAUAGGCGAGAGACCGAUAGCGAACAAGUACCGUGAGGGAAAGAUGAAAAGCACUUUGGAAAGAGAGUUAAACAGUACGUGAAAUUGCUGAAAGGGAAACGCUUGAAGUCAGUCGUGUCUGCCAGGACUCAGCCUUGCUUCCGCUCGGUGUACUUUCUGGUUGGAUGGGCCAGCAUCAAUUUUGACCGUUGGAGAAAGGCUUUGGGAAUGUGGCACCUUUGGGUGUGUUAUAGCCCUUUGUUGCAUACAACGGUUGGGAUUGAGGACCGCAGCACGCCGUUAUGGCCGGGGUUCGCCCACGUACGUGCUUAGGAUGUUGGCAUAAUGGCUUUAAGCGACCCGUCUUGAAACACGGACCAAGGAGUCUAACAUGCCCGCGAGUGUUUGGGUGGAAAACCCAUGCGCGUAAUGAAAGUGACAGCUGAGAUCCUCUCAUCAGGAGCAUCAGCGCCUGGACUUGAUCUACGGAGACGGUUCUACGGUAGAGCGUGUAUGUUGGGACCCGAAAGAUGGUGAACUAUGCCUGAAUAGGGUGAAGCCAGAGGAAACUCUGGUGGAGGCUCGUAGCGAUUCUGACGUGCAAAUCGAUCGUCAAAUUUGGGUAUAGGGGCGAAAGACUAAUCGA
Molecule: ribosomal RNA, 882 nt
Filed under: Thelephora sp.
Lineage: Eukaryota; Fungi; Basidiomycota; Agaricomycetes; Thelephorales; Thelephoraceae
Description: LSU rRNA
Rfam family: Eukaryotic large subunit ribosomal RNA
Source: RNAcentral